This 120-nucleotide ribosomal RNA is filed under the name Bison bison bison. Lineage: Eukaryota; Metazoa; Chordata; Mammalia; Artiodactyla; Bovidae. The record is from RNAcentral.
UACUCAGGCCGUAUCAGCCUGAAGGCGCCCGAUCUCGUCUGAUCUCGGAAGCUAAGCAGGGUCGGGCCUGGUUAGGAUCUUGGAUGGGAGACCACCUGGGAAUCCCGGGUGCUCGAGGCU